AGCUGAGUUUGAUCCUGGCUCAGAUUGAACGCUGGCGGCAGGCCUAACACAUGCAAGUCGAGCGGAUGAAGGGAGCUUGCUCCUGGAUUCAGCGGCGGACGGGUGAGUAAUGCCUAGGAAUCUGCCUGGUAGUGGGGGGCAACGUUUCGAAAGGAAAGCUAAUACCGCAUACGUCCUACGGGAGAAAGCAGGGGACCUUCGGGCCUUGCGCUAUCAGAUGAGCCUAGGUCGGAUUAGCUAGUUGGUGAGGUAAUGGCUCACCGAAGGCGACGAUCCGUAACUGGUCUGAGAGGAUGAUCAGUCACACUGGAACUGAGACACGGUCCAGACUCCGUAC
RNAcentral lists this ribosomal RNA (337 nucleotides) under uncultured Pseudomonas sp. Its description in RNAcentral is "bacterial SSU rRNA". It matches the Rfam family "Bacterial small subunit ribosomal RNA", at positions 1 to 342 of the family's 1533-position model. Lineage: Bacteria; Pseudomonadati; Pseudomonadota; Gammaproteobacteria; Pseudomonadales; Pseudomonadaceae. The record is from RNAcentral.